RNAcentral lists this ribosomal RNA (569 nucleotides) under Geotrichum sp. RNAcentral's name for it is "partial large subunit ribosomal RNA". It matches the Rfam family "Eukaryotic large subunit ribosomal RNA", at positions 48 to 658 of the family's 3401-position model. The record is from RNAcentral. Lineage: Eukaryota; Fungi; Ascomycota; Dipodascomycetes; Dipodascales; Dipodascaceae.
AAGCGGAGGAAAAGAAACCAACAGGGAUUGCCUUAGUAACGGCGAGUGAAGCGGCAAAAGCUCAAAUUUGAAAUCGGCCAACAGGUCGAGUUGUAAUUUGUAGAUUGUAUCUUGAGAGCGGAUUAAAGUCUGUUGGAACACAGCGCCUUAGAGGGUGACAGCCCCGUAGAAUCUAUUCUCAUUGUAAGAUGCUUUCGAAGAGUCGAGUUGUUUGGGAAUGCAGCUCUAAGUGGGAGGUAAAUUCCUUCUAAAGCUAAAUAUUGACGAGAGACCGAUAGCGAACAAGUACUGUGAAGGAAAGAUGAAAAGCACUUUGAAAAGAGAGUGAAAAAGUACGUGAAAUUGUUAAAAGGGAAGGGUAUUGAAUCAGACUUGGUGUUGUUGUUCAGCUGUGUUUCGGCAUGGUGUACUCAGCAGUACUAGGCCAAGGUGGGGUGUUUGGGAGUGAAAAAGACGUAGGAAAGUAGCUCUUUGGAGUGUUAUAGCCUGCAUUCAUAGCUCCUCAGGCGCCUCAGGACUGCGCUUCGGCAAGGACCUUGGCAUAAUGAUUCUAUACCGCCCGUCUUGAA